Molecule: ribosomal RNA, 463 nt
Filed under: uncultured bacterium
Lineage: Bacteria
Description: bacterial SSU rRNA
Rfam family: Bacterial small subunit ribosomal RNA
Source: RNAcentral
GUGGAGGCAGCAGUGGGGAAUUUUGGACAAUGGGCGAAAGCCUGAUCCAGCAAUGCCGCGUGAGUGAAGAAGGCCUUCGGGUUGUAAAGCUCUUUUGUCAGGGAAGAAAAGGCUGUGGCUAAUAUCUACGGCUCAUGACGGUACCUGAAGAAUAAGCACCGGCUAACUACGUACCAGCAGCCGCGGUAAUACGUAGGGUGCAAGCGUUAAUCGGAAUUACUGGGCGUAAAGCGUGCGCAGGCGGUUUUGUAAGACUGUCGUGAAAUCCCCGGGCUCAACCUGGGAAUGGCGAUGGUGACUGCAAGGCUAGAGUUUGGCAGAGGGGGGUAGAAUUCCACGUGUAGCAGUGAAAUGCGUAGAUAUGUGGAGGAACACCGAUGGCGAAGGCAGCCCCCUGGGUCAAAACUGACGCUCAUGCACGAAAGCGUGGGGAGCAAACAGGAUUAGAUACCCGAGUAGUCCG